RNAcentral lists this ribosomal RNA (472 nucleotides) under uncultured bacterium. RNAcentral describes it as "bacterial SSU rRNA". It matches the Rfam family "Bacterial small subunit ribosomal RNA", at positions 335 to 793 of the family's 1533-position model. The record is from RNAcentral.
ACGUCCUAACGGGAGGCAGCANUUGGGGAAUAUUGGACAAGUGGGGGAACCCUGAUCCAGCCAUGCCGCGNGUGUGAAGAAGGCCUUUUUGGUUGUAAAGCACUUUUAAGCGAGGAGGAGGCUUACCUGGUUAAUACCCGGGAUAAGUGGACGUUACUCGCAGAAUAAGCACCGGCUAACUCUGUGCCAGCAGCCGCGGUAAUACAGAGGGUGCAAGCGUUAAUCGGAUUUACUGGGCGUAAAGCGCGCGUAGGUGGCUAAUUAAGUCAAAUGUGAAAUCCCCGAGCUUAACUUGGGAAUUGCAUUCGAUACUGGUUAGCUAGAGUAUGGGAGAGGAUGGUAGAAUUCCAGGUGUAGCGGUGAAAUGCGUAGAGAUCUGGAGGAAUACCGAUGGCGAAGGCAGCCAUCUGGCCUAAUACUGACACUGAGGUGCGAAAGCAUGGGGAGCAAACAGGAUUAGAUACCCUGGUAG